GAUGAACGCUGGCGGCGUGCCUAAUACAUGCAAGUCGAGCGAACGGACGAGAAGCUUGCUUCUCUGAUGUUAGCGGCGGACGGGUGAGUAACACGUGGAUAACCUACCUAUAAGACUGGGAUAACUUCGGGAAACCGGAGCUAAUACCGGAUAAUAUUUUGAACCGCAUGGUUCAAAAGUGAAAGACGGUCUUGCUGUCACUUAUAGAUGGAUCCGCGCUGCAUUAGCUAGUUGGUAAGGUAACGGCUUACCAAGGCAACGAUGCAUAGCCGACCUGAGAGGGUGAGCGGCCACACUGGAACUGAGACCCGGUCCAGACUCCUACGGGAGGCAGCAGUAGGGAAUCUGCCGCAAUGGGCGAAAGCCUGACGGAGCAACGCCGCGUGAGUGAUGAAGGUCUUCGGAUCGUAAAACUCUGUUAUUAGGGAAGAACAUAUGUGUAAGUAACUGUGCACAUCUUGACGGUACCUAAUCAGAAAGCCACGGCUAACUACG
This 495-nucleotide ribosomal RNA is filed under the name uncultured bacterium. Its description in RNAcentral is "partial 16S ribosomal RNA". It matches the Rfam family "Bacterial small subunit ribosomal RNA", at positions 28 to 505 of the family's 1533-position model. The record is from RNAcentral.